CUGCGGGGGCGGCGGCAGGCACGGACCACGCCGGGAACCAUGGAAAAGCGCCGGGACGGGAGACGGACGUGGCUGGCGGGCGGGCGGGGGCGGGGGCGUUCGCCGUGCCCGGCAGCUGGGGGCGGCGCGGCGGGGCCGGGGCCGGGGCGGCUCGGGGGGGGCGCGGGGCCUAGCGGCGGCCGGGCCGAAAUGCAGCCGGGGCCCUCGGGACCCCUUCACCCCCGCGGGCACGGGACCGCCCCCCGCUGCAGAGCCUCGCGGCCCGUUCUGCCCGCCCGAGGCGUCGAGGGCGCAGCACCGCCCGGUCCGCGCAGGCCUCGGGGUGGGCCCGGCCCCGCUGCGGCCCUGCGGUCUGCGCGCGGGCUGCCAGCCCCAGUGGUGUUCUCGGGCUGUUCUGUAUGCGGAGGGCCCGGGUCACGGCUUCCAGGCCGGAGUACCCCCACGAAGACGAGACGGCGCUCCCGCCCCAAGGGCUGCACAUGAGAUACGGAUUAUAACAAAGCAUCACUUCAACCACAAAUAGAAAGCAGCCGCCUCCGGGAUCCAUUGCUACAGCAUCUGACAGCUUGCAGCCAUACCACAUAACAGCUUAGGACAGGAAGCGAUCUCCUCUUACAAAUUACAGGAGUGAAUUUACAUAGGGCAAACACUUCCCGUUUUGCAGAGACCAGAGCGAGACCGCGAACAGCAGUGGCUGAGCACCUCGCAGCUCUCCAAACCCUUCCCGACGCGCUGGUGUUUCCCAACGGGAGGAAAGCUGUGCCUCCCACGGCACCCGCCAGGGUCAGGGUCAGCCGGACCAGCAGGGAGCGCGGCUGCGGUGCUGGACCCUAGCAUGCGUUUGGGAUGCUCCAAGGAUCUCGUAGCUCAGCCCUCUGUGCAGAGGUUUUUUCCCCACUCAGUCAUUUCAUCCACGUCUGGCAGCUCAGCAAUCCUUUGCAUGGGUACAAAUCUGCAAGGCUUUGACAGGGAACACACACAGCAGUGAGAGCAAAAACAUUAGAGGCAAAUCUUUGGCUUUCAGUGAGUACAAGUACAUAUGCCACAACAUUUGCCUUCCCAACGUUAAAUACAGAUCGGUGCAUCCUCGGUGCCUUGCAGCAAGCUUUGUGACUGAAAUAUCGGUUUUGAAUCCAGCCUUGCUUCAGAGGAAACAGGCGAUCAAAUUUCUUUACUGUCCCUUGAUGCAGAUCCUUGCUGCAAAUGGCACUAGCAAGGAAGAAGAAAUGGGAAAAGAAAUGCACAGCUAUUAAGAAAUAAAAUAGUUUAAUUCAGCCGGUCUCAACUAAAUUGAUAAUUCCCUGGGGAAAACAAAACUGUCAUGGAAAGCACAGAACAUAAGUUUUUCUUUGACAGUUGGCAAUAACAGCCUUGUGAAAAGGUGAGUGAACAUUUCUGCCUUUUCUGAAAAACAAAAGGUUCCAUAUGUACUGAAAGUCCCCUCUGUCGUUUUUACUGGUUGGGUUAAUUUUGGAGGUCAGGACAGCAGAGGUCUGUGCUCUGAUGCGAGCUAGUGUCAUACCCACGUUGAAAUGUUUUACAGAUGAAGAAGCAUCUGUAAAGGAAAACCCAGGGCUUCUCGGAAUGGUUCAAAUUAGCCCAUAAUCCCAGAGAACCAAAAAAAAACACCCUAUUAUUAUUUUGAAGAACAUGAGCCCAUCUUUCCCAGCAGCCUGACUUGGGCUUAAGAGAGAAGCAAGCAGAGACAAUCCAAGAACUCUCAGCCAGCCGCAGCGUGAUGGGGGAGCUGGCUGGACAGCACAGCACAGCUGAGUUUUUCUUAGCACUGAAAUACUUUUUCCAAACCAAUACCAAAAAAGGUUUGUUUCUAGGUCAAGACCUCAGCACUAAAUUUUAACCAGGAGUUGACAGUCAAGUUUUAACACAGCCGUAAAAUGGAUUCACAGUAGAAGCUCAGGCAUUCUUUUUCUAAUUAGAAAACAGUCCCCGAGCCUCGUGCAUUUAAAGGUGAAAGCUAUUUUUGACAUAAAAGUUAGCACGUAGUUCCUGUGUCACCCUUCAGUUGCUGUUCUGGAAGCUGUGAGUGAGAGAUCAAGGAUAAGCAGCAAGCAUAAACACGAUGCACUGAAUAACAGGCAGAAAGGGACUUGGUUUAAGUUUUCCUCUGCCUGACAAUAAUGCGAGGGGACGGCUUAUUUUUACACUUACUAUUUAUCCUAAGCAGCACUGGUUAGAAGGUCCACAUAAACACACAGAAACAGAUCUGAAAGACAUUUACAAAUGUGAAGUGCUUUUAAUAGCUGCCUUUUGAAAUGCUGUUAAAUCUGACUGUGAGAUGGGUGGCGUAAGGCACCAGGGAAGCAAGGCAGUGUGCAGGAGGACUCUGCACUGAACAACUGGUCCGCCCUUCAAGGACUCAGCUCCCAUAUGGGGACCAUGGGCAGUAGGGUUAAAAACAAACGGAAUGUGUGACGCUUUCAGAAACCUGGCUGUCCUUUCCGUGUUAAUUUUCCUUCUUUAUUUGGUGAGAAUCUAACAGCUCUGUUUUCAGCAUUUUCAAAAUAUGUCUUGGUGACCAUUUCUAAAAUAAAAGUCAGUGAGGAGCGAACAGAAAUACAAAGGCUUACUGGCACUGCUAAUGCCAUGCGCUGAUCCCCCGGAGGCUCUGCCCCUUUAUGUAACAUGGAUUGUUUCAGCUAACACGGCUUAUUGCUCUUCGGUGUUUUUCUUUAAACACAGACAUUAGAAACCUCCUUCUGACACUGACACCCUUCUUCUGACCCUCGUUGUAGGAGGGGAAAAAUGCAAUGGGAAACAAAAUUUCACUUGUGCUAUAACACAUACGUGUUUUUCUCCCUUGCCUGUCAUCUACCUUUGAAGGGAAAAAAGUCACCAAUUUACAUCACUCAGGUGCAGCUCCCCAAUGGCAAGACACAGGAGGCCACCCCCCACCUCUCCUCAGCCCAAACACCCCCUGACGGCCGUGGACGCUCCAAGCAAAGAAGAGACAGCCUCGGGAAGGCCACUGUCACGGCCUGACGGCAGCUUUGGCAGCCGUGCUGCAGUACUUACUUCCUGCUGGCCCACCUCCCCGGAAGCAUCCAGCCAGCACCACGGCGUCACCGCAGCUCUCCGUGCGCAGAGAACGUCAGGAGAAAAAAAGAAAUCAGAACCCUCUGGAACCACUUGCAAUCGGAGACCUGAAUGGACUCGACGUGAAAACCAACUCAAACCAACAGAAGCCAUCUGCUUCCCUGGGCGUUGGACGAGAUCCAGCUUAAAAGUUUCCGUGAAAUAAACUAGGCUAAGUGCAUCAGCUGCACAGAAACCCUCGGUGCAACGGGAGCAUCUGUUCUUCACGUCUACGGUUUGCUGAGAGCCUUCAUUUCCCAUGGCCGAGGGGACACGAGUCGCCACACCAAUCGCAGGCGCUGCUGUGGCCACGCGUGCCUCCCACCCGUGCCGGCCUCGCUGCCGGCGGCGCUGCGGAUGAGCCGUUGUCACAAGGCAGCGUGCACAGGGCACAAACCACCCAGCCAGGCAGCUUCGCUUGGUCGGAAAACAGCUUAACGUAUUUUGUAUGAUGGCAUUACGAGUGAAAUUGAUGUCUGCGUUGAGACAGCUGAGGAGCACACCUCGGAACCAUUUAUGCACAGUACAAAGCAAAUGUUUACCCAAGUACGAAUGAAACAGGUUGACAAUUAGCUAAUGCGGCUUUGUGGACAUAAACCAGGUACAUUUGAGCAGAACCAACAUAAAAUAAAAAGGAAACAGCCCUUUUCCUAUCCAGUGCUAAGAGCACCGCGGUGAGUGGUCGGGGAAGUCUGGUACGCUGAAAAAUUUCCGUGCCAGUGUUUAAUGUGUUUAUUCUACUGCUACUCUGCCGGGAUAAAAAUAACACCAGCAGGGCACGCUGGCGGGACGAUGGAUCCCCUGUCAAUACUACAGUAAUUGACAACAUACAAUUAAGUCUCACACCUGUUUAUUGUAAGUAAUUCAUAGAUAACCACUUCUCGUACACAUUUUCACAUUGGCUUUUAAUGCUUUUGUUUUUCAAGCUCAGGGACACCCAAACUUCAGCUAAGGGUCAUCUCUGCAGUUUACCCAGCUCCAGAAUGCCAUACCUACUACGUAAAACUGGUGCAAGUUGGUAUCACUGCGGUGGGUAACAGAGAUGGCUUGGAAACUACACAACCCAACAUGCAACGCCCACCAGCACGGGCUGCUCUACGCUAAGGGAGGAAGGUUUUUUGCUGGGGUGCAUUCAACUCACAUGCCUCAUGUUGGCCGUACCAGCCUAAGUCAUGCAGCUGUCUGCACGCAACGCUCUACACAGUGCAAAAACGAAGACGUCUAUACAUCUGGAGUAAGAACAGUGGUAACAAAGUCAUAGCUACAUAUUCUUCUCUACAUUUUUGUUUAUUGAGACAAACUAAUUAAAAGGCACAAACAUAGGGCAUAUGUUUACAUGGACAUUAUAACAAACAUAUACAUUAAAAGUGUAGGAAUGUGUUUCCUUUCUGCUAAACAGAAAGUUCCUAAGCUUUUAUAUAUACAAAAGUUGUACAAUUUGAUGUCCUAAAGUACAAAAGAUCAUUUAUAAAAUUAUUUUACACUAAGCUCUUUUUUUUUUGUUUUUGUUUUACUAUGUAGUCCAAGCCCCUAGAACAGUUUCACGUAAUGAUACAGAUACCUGUCACCUGACCCAGAAGUCUGGCAAUCACUGCUUGUACUGACACGGCAGGGUAGGAACGGAAGCAGUCCAUUUUGACUAGUCAGUCCUGCUAGCACUCUGUGAAAAUGCGCACACGCUAAUCUCCAUAGCUUUCAGCUUCAUUAAAAUAAAAACAUCUCAACUCAUUAUUAUUUGUUUUUUUAAUGUAGAGUCUUGGUUUUAGGGUGGGGGUUUUUUUUGUUUUUUUUUUUAAACAAAGUUUUAAAAAUGUGAAUAUGUGACAUGAUAGUCUAAAAAGUAUAUCUGUUUCCCUAGAUUUUGCUUUCUACGUUAUGUACAGAUAAACAGGUUAAGAAA
Gallus gallus (chicken) is the source of this 4993-nucleotide long non-coding RNA. RefSeq lists it as uncharacterized. Lineage: Eukaryota; Metazoa; Chordata; Aves; Galliformes; Phasianidae. The transcript is spliced from 2 exons. The record is from RefSeq and is a predicted model, not a curated record.